CCUACGGGAGGCAGCAGUGGGGAAUAUUGGACAAUGGGCGAAAGCCUGAUCCAGCAAUGCCGCGUGAGUGAUGAAGGCCUUAGGGUUGUAAAGCUCUUUUACCAGGGAUGAUAAUGACAGUACCUGGAGAAUAAGCUCCGGCUAACUCCGUGCCAGCAGCCGCGGUAAUACGGAGGGAGCUAGCGUUGUUCGGAAUUACUGGGCGUAAAGCGUACGUAGGCGGUUAUUCAAGUCAGAGGUGAAAGCCCGGGGCUCAACCCCGGAACUGCCUUUGAAACUAGAUAGCUAGAAUCUUGGAGAGGUUAGUGGAAUUCCGAGUGUAGAGGUGAAAUUCGUAGAUAUUCGGAAGAACACCAGUGGCGAAGGCGACUAACUGGACAAGUAUUGACGCUGAGGUACGAAAGCGUGGGGAGCAAACAGGAUUAGAUACCCUGGUAGUCCACGCCGUAAACGAUGAUAACUAGUUGUUCGGGCACUUGGUGCCUGAGUGACGCAGCUAACGCAUAAGUUAUCCGCCUGGGGAUACGGUCGCAAGNUUAAAACUCAAAUGAAUUGACGG
This 559-nucleotide ribosomal RNA is filed under the name uncultured bacterium. RNAcentral describes it as "bacterial SSU rRNA". It matches the Rfam family "Bacterial small subunit ribosomal RNA", at positions 338 to 916 of the family's 1533-position model. The record is from RNAcentral.